GGCUUAAAUCAUAUCUUGGCUUGUCAUUAUUAUCUAUUUACUGUGAACUGUAUUAUUAUUUGACGUUUGAGGGAUGUUCCAAUGUUAUAAGGAUAGACAUUGGAGAUGUUAACCGAGUCAUAAUCAGGUUUAGGCCUGGUAUCCUAUUAUUAUUUACCAAAUGAAUUCAGAAUUAAUAUUGUAACAUAGACCUAAAAAAUCUAUAAAACAACUUUUAACAACGGAUCUCUUGGUUCUCGCAUCGAUGAAGAACGUAGCAAAGUGCGAUAACUAGUGUGAAUUGCAUAUUCAGUGAAUCAUCGAGUCUUUGAACGCAACUUGCGCUCAUUGGUAUUCCAAUGAGCACGCCUGUUUCAGUAUCAAAACAAACCCUCUAUCCAACUUUUGUUGUAUAGGAUUAUUGGGGGCCUCUCGAUCUGUAUAGAUCUUGAAACCCUUGAAAUUUACUAAGGCCUGAACUUGUUUAAUGCCUGAACUUUUUUUUAAUAUAAAGGAAAGCUCUUGUAAUUGACUUUGAUGGGGCCUCCCAAAUAAAUCUUUUUUAAAUUUGAUCUGAAAUCAGGUGGGAUUACCCGCUGAACUUAAGCAUAUCAAUAAGCGGAGGA
RNAcentral lists this small RNA (605 nucleotides) under uncultured Mucor. RNAcentral describes it as "eukaryotic LSU rRNA". The stretch from base 210 to 362 matches the Rfam family "5.8S ribosomal RNA". Lineage: Eukaryota; Fungi; Mucoromycota; Mucoromycetes; Mucorales; Mucoraceae. The record is from RNAcentral.